AUUGAACGCUGGCGGCAUGCUUUACACAUGCAAGUCGAACGGCAGCGGGGAGGAGCUUGCUUCUCUGCCGGCGAGUGGCGAACGGGUGAGUAAUACAUCGGAACGUGUCGAGAAGAGGGGGAUAACCACCCGAAAGGGUGGCUAAUACCGCAUAAAUUCUGAGGAAGAAAGCCGGGGACCUGGGAAUAGGCCUAGCGCUUUUUGAGCGGCCGAUGUCGGAUUAGCUAGUUGGUGAGGUAAAGGCUCACCAAGGCGAAGAUCUGUAGCGGGUCUGAGAGGAUGAUCCGCCACACUGGGACUGAGACACGGCCCAGACUCCUACGGGAGGCAGCAGUGGGGAAUUUUGGACAAUGGGGGCAACCCUGAUCCAGCCAUGCCGCGUGUAUGAAGAAGGCCUUAGGGUUGUAAAGUACUUUUGUUAGGGAAGAAAAGUCAGCUGUGAAUAAUGGCUGAUACUGACGGUACCUAAAGAAUAAGCACCGGCUAACUACGUG
RNAcentral lists this ribosomal RNA (494 nucleotides) under uncultured bacterium. RNAcentral describes it as "partial 16S ribosomal RNA". It matches the Rfam family "Bacterial small subunit ribosomal RNA", at positions 30 to 507 of the family's 1533-position model. The record is from RNAcentral.